UGCGCCUUGCCAGCCCGCUCAGAAACUCAAAGGAAUUGACGGGGGCCCGCACAAGCGGUGGAGCAUGUGGUUUAAUUCGAUGGUACGCGAGAAACCUUACCAGGGCUUGACAUACGCUGGAAGCGGUCCGAAAGGAUCGUGCCGCUUGCGGCCGGCGUACAGGUGCUGCAUGGCUGUCGUCAGCUCGUGCCGUGAGAUGUUGGGUUAAGUCCCAUAACGAGCGCAACCCUUGUCCUUAGUUACCAGCACGUUAUGGUGGGCACUCUAAGGAGACUGCCGGUGACAAACCGGAGGAAGGUGGGGAUGACGUCAAGUCAUCAUGGCCCUUACGGCCUGGGCUACACACGUGCUACAAUGGUCGGUACAAAGGGUUGCCAAGCCGCGAGGUGGAGCUAAUCCCAUAAAACCGAUCGUAGUCCGGAUCGCAGUCUGCAACUCGACUGCGUGAAGUCGGAAUCGCUAGUAAUCGUGAAUCAGAAUGUCACGGUGAAUACGUUCCCGGGCCUU
Molecule: ribosomal RNA, 507 nt
Filed under: uncultured Pseudomonas sp.
Lineage: Bacteria; Pseudomonadati; Pseudomonadota; Gammaproteobacteria; Pseudomonadales; Pseudomonadaceae
Description: bacterial SSU rRNA
Rfam family: Bacterial small subunit ribosomal RNA
Source: RNAcentral